GACGAACCGUGCAAACGUUGUUCGGAAUCACUGGGCUUAAAGGGCGCGUAGGCGGGUUCCAUAGUCCGCGGUGAAAGCCUCCAGCUUAACUGGAGAAGUGCCGUGGAUACUGGGAAUCUCGAGGAGGGUAGGGGCAUCUGGAACAACCGGUGGAGCGGUGAAAUGCGUUGAUAUCGGUUGGAACUCCGGUGGCGAAGGCGAGGUGCUGGACCCUUUCUGACGCUGAGGCGCGAAAGCCAGGGGAGCGAACGGG
Molecule: ribosomal RNA, 253 nt
Filed under: uncultured bacterium
Lineage: Bacteria
Description: partial 16S ribosomal RNA
Rfam family: Bacterial small subunit ribosomal RNA
Source: RNAcentral